Molecule: transfer RNA, 68 nt
Filed under: Camelus bactrianus (Bactrian camel)
Lineage: Eukaryota; Metazoa; Chordata; Mammalia; Artiodactyla; Camelidae
Also listed under: 2 other names
Rfam family: tRNA
About the family: Transfer RNA (tRNA) molecules are approximately 80 nucleotides in length.
Source: Rfam by way of RNAcentral
GUGGGUAUAGCUCAGUGGAAGAGUGCUUAGCAUGCAGGAGGUCCUGGGUUCAAUUUCCAGUACCUCUA